Molecule: ribosomal RNA, 329 nt
Filed under: uncultured eukaryote
Lineage: Eukaryota
Description: partial 18S ribosomal RNA
Rfam family: Eukaryotic small subunit ribosomal RNA
Source: RNAcentral
CCCUUAGAUGUCCUGGGCCGCACGCGCGUUACACUGAUGCAUUCAACGAGCUUAUAACCUUGGCCGAGAGGCCUGGGCAAUCUUGUUAACGUGCAUCGUGAUAGGGAUAGAUUAUUGAAAUUAUUAAUCUUGAACGAGGAAUUCCUAGUAAACGCAGAUCAUCAAUCUGCAUUGAUUACGUCCCUGCCCUUUGUACACAUCGCCCGUCGCUCCUACCGAUUGAAUGAUCCGAUGAAUAUCAUGGAUUGAGGAUGCAAGUAGGUUCGCCUAUCUUCAUCUUCGAGAAGUGAAGUAAAUCUUAUCAUUUAGAGGAAGGAGAAGUCGUAACA